UACGAGUUUCGUAUCCUGGACUCAGGAUGAACGCUGGCGGCUGCUUAACACAUGCAAGUCGAACGGACCCAUAUUGAACCUGGUGAUAUAUGGGUUAGUGGCGGACGGUGAGUAACGCGUGGGUAACCUGCCUUACACAGGGGGAUAACACUUAGAAUAGGUGCUAAAACCGCAUAGCGCACAGCUUCGCAUGAAGCGGUGUGAAAAACCUCCGGUGGUGUAAGAUGGACCCGCGUCUGAUUAGCUUGUUGCGGGGUAACGGCCCACCAAGGCGACGAUCAGUAGCCGGCCUGAGAGGGCGGACGGCCACAUUGGGACUGAGGCACGGCCCAGACUCCUACGGGAGGCAGCAGUGGGGAAUAUUGCACAAUGGGGGAAACCCUGAUGCAGCGACGCCGCGUGAGUGAAGAAGUAAUUCGUUACGUAAAGCUCUAUCAGCAGGGAAGAAAAUGACGGUACCUGAGUAAGAAGCCCCGGCUAACUACGUG
This 488-nucleotide ribosomal RNA is filed under the name uncultured Eubacteriales bacterium. RNAcentral's name for it is "bacterial SSU rRNA". It matches the Rfam family "Bacterial small subunit ribosomal RNA", at positions 1 to 507 of the family's 1533-position model. The record is from RNAcentral. Lineage: Bacteria; Bacillati; Bacillota; Clostridia; Eubacteriales.